RNAcentral lists this unclassified non-coding RNA (178 nucleotides) under soil metagenome. RNAcentral's name for it is "partial internal transcribed spacer 1". The record is from RNAcentral.
UCGAGUUACCGCUCUACAACCCUUUGUGAACAUACCUAACUGUUGCUUCGGCGGGCAGGGGGUCCCCCCGGGGACGCCCUCCCGGCCCCGCCCCCCUACCAGGGGACGUGGCGCCCGCCGGAGGAUACCCAACUCUAUUUUAACGACGUUUCUUCUGAGUGGCAUAAGCAAAUAAUUA